AAUUUGAGUGACUUGACACUACUCAAUAGUUUCUUUAAAGAAAAGAUACCGAUUUUAUGUAACAUACCAAUUUUUACAUAAGGUAAAUAAGAAGGAAUGAAAAUCAGCAGUUUGCUUCAUUAUAGUGUUUUUUGUCUCCAGUAAUUUAUGGAAUUACUGGG
Molecule: long non-coding RNA, 161 nt
Organism: Etheostoma spectabile (orangethroat darter)
Lineage: Eukaryota; Metazoa; Chordata; Actinopteri; Perciformes; Percidae
Exons: 3
Source: RefSeq, a predicted model, not a curated record